AACGACUCUCGGCAACGGAUAUCUUGGCUCUCGCAUCGAUGAAGAACGUAGCGAAAUGCGAUACUUGGUGUGAAUUGCAGAAUCCCGUGAACCAUCGAGUCUUUGAACGCAAGUUGCACCCGAGGCCAUUAGGUCGAGGGUACACCUGCCUGGGCGUCACGC
RNAcentral lists this ribosomal RNA (162 nucleotides) under Aristolochia grandiflora (pelican-flower). RNAcentral's name for it is "5.8S ribosomal RNA". It matches the Rfam family "5.8S ribosomal RNA". Rfam says of the family: 5.8S ribosomal RNA (5.8S rRNA) is a component of the large subunit of the eukaryotic ribosome. It is transcribed by RNA polymerase I as part of the 45S precursor that also contains 18S and 28S rRNA. Lineage: Eukaryota; Viridiplantae; Streptophyta; Magnoliopsida; Piperales; Aristolochiaceae. The record is from RNAcentral.